CUGGCGGUAGCCUACCAUGCACCCGAACGGCAGCACAGUAAGAGCUUGCUCUUAUGGGUGGCGAGUGGCGGACGGGUGAGGAAUACAUCGGAAUCUACCUUUUCGUGGGGGAUAACGUAGGGAAACUUACGCUAAUACCGCAUACGACCUUCGGGUGAAAGCAGGGGACCUUCGGGCCUUGCGCGGAUAGAUGAGCCGAUGUCGGAUUAGCUAGUUGGCGGGGUAAAGGCCCACCAAGGCGACGAUCCGUAGCUGGUCUGAGAGGAUGAUCAGCCACACUGGAACUGAGACACGGUCCAGACUCCUACGGGAGGCAGCAGUGGGGAAUAUUGGACAAUGGGCGCAAGCCUGAUCCAGCCAUACCGCGUGGGUGAAGAAGGCCUUCAGGUUGUAAAGCCCUUUUGUUGGGAAAGAAAAGCAGUCGAUUAAUACUCGGUUGUUCUGACGGUACCCAAAGAAUAAGCACCGGCUAACUUCGUGCCAGCAGCCGCGGUAAUACAAAUGGUGCAAGCGUUACUCGGAAUUACUGGGCUAAACGUGCUUAGGUGGUUGUUUAACUGUUGUGAAAUCCCUGGCAACCUGAUUGCAGGGAUACUGACACUA
RNAcentral lists this ribosomal RNA (603 nucleotides) under Stenotrophomonas sp. Bac31D2. RNAcentral's name for it is "bacterial SSU rRNA". It matches the Rfam family "Bacterial small subunit ribosomal RNA", at positions 36 to 633 of the family's 1533-position model. Lineage: Bacteria; Pseudomonadati; Pseudomonadota; Gammaproteobacteria; Lysobacterales; Lysobacteraceae. The record is from RNAcentral.